ACUCCUACGGGAGGCAGCAGUAGGGAAUCUUCCACAAUGGGCGCAAGCCUGAUGGAGCAACACCGCGUGAGUGAAGAAGGGUUUCGGCUCGUAAAGCUCUGUUGUUAAAGAAGAACACGUAUGAGAGUAACUGUUCAUACGUUGACGGUAUUUAACCAGAAAGUCACGGCUAACUACGCGCCAGCAGCCGCGGUAAUACGUAGGUGGCAAGCGUUAUCCGGAUUUAUUGGGCGUAAAGAGAGUGCAGGCGGUUUUCUAAGUCUGAUGUGAAAGCCUUCGGCUUAACCGGAGAAGUGCAUCGGAAACUGGAUAACUUGAGUGCAGAAGAGGGUAGUGGAACUCCAUGUGUAGCGGUGGAAUGCGUAGAUAUAUGGAAGAACACCAGUGGCGAAGGCGGCUACCUGGUCUGCAACUGACGCUGAGACUCGAAAGCAUGGGGUAGCGAACAGGAUUAGAUACCCUGGUAGGAUAGCG
RNAcentral lists this ribosomal RNA (474 nucleotides) under uncultured bacterium. RNAcentral's name for it is "bacterial SSU rRNA". It matches the Rfam family "Bacterial small subunit ribosomal RNA", at positions 335 to 801 of the family's 1533-position model. The record is from RNAcentral.